GCCACAAUAGCUCAGAUGGUAGAGUAACGCAUUCGUAACGCGUAGGUCGCGAGUUCGAUCCUCGCUUGUGGCUCAA
Molecule: transfer RNA, 76 nt
Filed under: Bacteroidia bacterium
Lineage: Bacteria; Pseudomonadati; Bacteroidota; Bacteroidia
Description: tRNA-Thr
Rfam family: tRNA
About the family: Transfer RNA (tRNA) molecules are approximately 80 nucleotides in length. Their secondary structure includes four short double-helical elements and three loops (D, anti-codon, and T loops).
Source: RNAcentral